This 411-nucleotide long non-coding RNA is filed under the name Phoenix dactylifera (date palm). RNAcentral's name for it is "long non-coding RNA (PDAC_LNC019299)". The record is from RNAcentral. Lineage: Eukaryota; Viridiplantae; Streptophyta; Magnoliopsida; Arecales; Arecaceae.
GGCACGCGCGCCCAUGAAGACUACGGCUGUCCUUUGAUCCAGCAAUCCGACCCCGAGUCGGACAUCUUCGGCUCCACAGCCCGACCUCGAGUCGGUUGCCCUUUGAUCCAGCAAUCCGACCCCGAGUCGGACAUCUUCGGCUCCACAGCCCGACCCCGAGUCGGCUGCCCCCUGAUCCAGCACUCCGACCCCGAGUCGGAGUGCUCUUGAUAACGACAGGCUGCUUCCCAGAGGCACGCCGAGGCCUCCUGCUCCACUACUCCCUGCAACGGCUGUAUCCGAUGCUGUUCCACGAUCUCCUGUAUCAGCCGUACAAAGCGGAACUCCACUACGCCCUGUCAUGGCCGUACCCAGCGCUGCUCCACGACGCCCUGUAACGGCCAUGUCAGUGGCCACUCCAUCGCGCCCCAG